RNAcentral lists this long non-coding RNA (3949 nucleotides) under Homo sapiens (human). Its description in RNAcentral is "HSALNT0006898". The record is from RNAcentral. Lineage: Eukaryota; Metazoa; Chordata; Mammalia; Primates; Hominidae.
GGCCGGGCCGCGGGGCAGGGACUUCUGCGCGCCGCUGCUCGCCUGGCCCACUGGGCUUUUCGCAUCUGGGGAUCUGGGGCCAGUGGAGGUCAGCCAGGUCCGCGAGCAACCUGUGCUCAGGCCAGCGGAAGCCUGACUCCAGGAUUCGGUGGUGCCACAGACAGUUACUGAACGCCAAUUUUGUGCCUGCUUUAAGCGAACAGGACAGUUCCUGACCCUCAGUUCUUUCCAGGCUCUUCACUACUCUGCCUGCCCUGGAACUUCUCAGAUCACGUCAGCUCCCUCUGCCCAGGGGAAAAGCUACAAAAGGAAGAGUUCCAAGACUGCCAAAUAAAGAUAAACCAAUACGCUUUAAAAAGUAGAAUGUAUUGGUUUAUCAGAUUUGGGGAUGAUGCCUUUCUUCAAACUGCCCUUUCCUGUUUCACCCAAGAGACCUGGUUUCUAGGCCCUUCUCCAGAGUUUGCCCUGUGUCCACAUCCUUCUCACUGUGGUCCUUGCGACUGGACAUUCCCCUUCAGCUGGCUCUUUUUUGGGAGCCCACCUGGCUUAUCCUUCUCUCAUAACGUUUAUUGAACUUUAUUUUACCUGGCCUCCUGUCCAGGCUACAUCUGAGACCAUGCAGGAGCUGUGGAGAUUAACGGUAAAAGGAACAGCACAUUCAAGACUCUUCUAGGAGGUGGGGCAAGAUAGCCAAAUAGAACCCUCCAGUGAUCCUCCUCCUCCUCUUCCCUGGCAGGAACACCAAACUGAACAACUAUCCACACAAGAAAGCACCUUCAUGAGAACCAAAACUCAGGUAGCAAUCACAGUAGCUGGUUGUAACGUCACAUCAAGAUAUAAGGCAAUGGCUGGGUGCGGUGGCUCACACCUGUAAUCCCAGUGCUUUGGGAGGCUGAGGCGGGCAGACCACCUGAGGUCAGGAGUUUGAGACCUAGCUGGCCAACAUAGUGAAACCCUGUCUCUACUAAAAAUACAAAAAUCAGCCGAGUAUGGCAGUGCACACCUGUAGUCCCAGCUACUCCGGAGGCUAAGGCAGGAGAAUUGUUUGAACCCGGGAGGUGGAGGUUGUAGUGAGCUGAGAUCAUGCCAUUGCACUCUAGCCUGGGUGACAGAGUGAGACUCUAUCUCAUAAAAGAAGAAAAAAAAAGGAACAAGGCAAUGAAGAGGGUAGGAAAGACAGUCUUGAAUUGCUACCACCACCCCUCCCUCAUCCUCUGGCAGCACCUGGCUGCCUGGCAUAGAGAGAGAAUCUGUGUGCUUAUGGGACUUUGCAUUGGAACUGAGUUUUGCCCUGUCACAGUGGAAAGCAACUCAGGGCAGAAUUCAGCUAGUGCCCACAGAGGAAGCACUUAGAGAAACCCUAGCCAGAGGGGAAUCAUCCAUCCCAGUGGUCAGGUUCUGGCGAGCCCCACCACCACUGGCUAAAGUGCUUCAGGGUCCUAAAUAAAUUCGAAAGGCAGUCUAGGCCACAAAGACUGCAAUUCCUGGGCAAGUCCUGGUGCUGUGCUGAGCUCAGAGCCCGUGGACUUGGGGUGCACACAGCCUAGUGAGAUACCAGUUGGGGAGCCAAAGGAGUGUUUAUGUCACCAGUCCCCCAACCCCAGGCAGCACAGCUCACGGCUCCAGGAGAGACUCCUUUCCCUUAGAGGAAAGGAGAGGGGAAAGUAAAGAGGACUUUGUCUUACAGCUUGGAUACCAUCCCAGCCACAGUAGAAUAAAACACCACGCAGAGUCCCGAAGCCCCCUUGCCAGGCUCUAUCUCCCAGAUAUUUCUAGAGCUACCAUGGGCCAGAAGGGAACCCGCUGCUUUGAAGGAAAGGACCCAGUCCUGGCAGGAUUCAUCACCUGCUGACUAAAGAGCUGUUGGGCCUUGAAUAAACAUUUGUAAUAGCCACAGUACUGGGUGAGGCCCAGUACUGUGCUGCCUUCAGGUGUGACCCAGUGCCUUCCCAGUAAUGGUUGCCACAGGGAGAGACUCCUUCUGCUUAAGGAAAAGAGAGGAAAGAGUUAAAAAGGAGUUGGUCUUGCAACUUGGGUACCAGCUCAGCCACAGUAAAAUAAAGCACCAAGUAGGUUUCUAAAGCCCGGACUCCAUGCCCUAGCUCCUGGACAGCAUUUCUAAACCCACCCUGGGCCAGAAGGGAACCUGCCACCCCAAAGGGUAAGACACAAGCCUGGCUGGAUUCACCACCUGCUGACUAAAGAGCCUUUGGGCUUUGAAUAAACAUCAGCAAUAACCAGGCAAUAGUCACCAUGGGCCUUGGGCAAGACCCACUACUGUGCUGGCUUCAGGUUUGACACAGCACAGUUCCAGCAGUGGUGGCCACAGGGGUGCUUGUGUCACUCCUCUCCCAACUCCAGGCAGCUCAGCAUGGAGAGAGAGACUCCAUUUAUUUGGGAGAAAGUAAGGGAAGAUAACAAGAGACUCUGCCUGGUAAUCCAGGGAAUUCUCUCGGAUCUUACCCAAGACCAUCAAGGCAGUACCUCUGAGUCUACAAGAGUCACAGCAUCGCUGGGUUUGGGGUGCCCCCUAAUGCAGUUACAGCUGCAGUGACCAAAUAUUUACAUCACAACACUCAUUUCCCUUUGAGUACUUGGAAAAGCCUUCUGAAGAAGGAUGAGUACAAAUAAGCCCAAACUGUGAAAAUUAUGAUAAAUACCUAAUUAUUCAAUGCUCUGCAUUGACCAACAGUCACAAACAUCAAUACCAUCCAAGAAAACAUGACCUAAUCAAAUGAACUAAAUAAGGCACCAGUGACCAAUCCCAGAGUGACAGAGAUAUGUGACCUUUCAGAGAAUUCACUGUCACUGAGAAAGCUCAGUGAAAUUCAAGAUAGCACAGAGAAGGAACUCAGAAUCCUGCCAGAUAAACUUAACAAAGAGAUGGAAAAAGGAACUCAGAAUCCUGCCAGAUAAAUUUGACAAAGAGAUGGAAAUAAUUUUAAAAAUUAAAUAGAAAUUCUGGAGCUGAUAAAUUCAACUGAUACACCAAAGAAUGCACCAGGGUCUCUAAACAUGAGAACUGAUCAAGCAGAAGAAAGAAUUAGUGAGCUUGAAGGCAGGCUGUUUGAAAAUACACAGAAGAAUUGAAAGAAAAAAUAACAAAAAAGGAUGAAGUAUGCCUACAAUAUCUAGACAAUGGCCACAAAUGGGCAAAUCUAAGAGUUAUUGGCCUUAAAGAGAAGGUAGAGAGAAAUUAGGAUAGAAAGUUUAUUCAAAGGAAGAAUAACGGAACUUUCCAAACCUAGAGAAAUAUAUAAAUAUUCAAGUACAAGAAAGUUAUAGAAUACCAAGCAGAUUUAACCCAAAUAAGACUACCUCAUGUCAUUUAAUAAUCAGACUCCCAAAGAUCAAAGAUAAAGAAAGGAUCCUAAAAGCAGCAAGAAAAAAGAAACAAAUAACACACAAAGAAGCUCCAAUGGGUCUGGCAGCAGGCUUCUCUGUGGAAAGCUUACAGGCCAGGAGAGUGGCAUGACAUUUAAAGUACUGAAGAAAAAAAACAUUUAUCCUAGAAUAGUAUAUCCAGCAAAAAUGUCCUUUAAACAUGAAGGAAAAAUAAAGAUUUCCUAGACAAACAAAAGCUGAGGGAUUUUGUCAACACACCAGACCUUUCCUUCAAGAAAUGCUAAAGAGUGUUUUUCAGUCUGAAAGAAAAGGAUGUUAAGCAAUGAGAAAUCGUCUGACGGCACAAAACUCAUUGGGAAUGGUAACUACACAGACAAAUGCAAAAGAUUUUAACACUAAUUGUGUGUAAACUACUCAUAUAUUGAGUAGCAAGACUAAAAGAUGAACCUAUCAAAAAUAAUAACUUUUCAAAACAUAGACAGUAUAAGAUAUAAAUAGGGGCCAGGCACGGUGGCUUAUGCCCAUAAUCCCAGCACUUUGGGAGGCCGAGGCAGGUGGAUCGCUUGAGCUCAGGAGUUCAGGGGCAACAUGGUGAAACCACAUC